UUUUCCGGCACUAUCCAACUCCAAAUUUGUCACAUGACUUUGCUCCUAUAGAAUGACAUUGAAGUAUCAAGAAUGCAUAUCAAUCUUUAAUGAAAAAUGAUUUUUCAAGCAGGAACAGCUUCCAUUUAUUUCAAGCCUCAAGGAGCGUUGAGAAAUAAAGUGAAAUUAACAGUCAACAAUUGUACUGACAAAAACAGUACUUUUCAGGCGGUAUUGCCUUGUGAAAAUCACACCAUCCUGUUCCCUUGUAAUUUUUUUGACAAUCCGCUUUGCA
Molecule: long non-coding RNA, 274 nt
Filed under: Citrus sinensis (sweet orange)
Lineage: Eukaryota; Viridiplantae; Streptophyta; Magnoliopsida; Sapindales; Rutaceae
Description: long non-coding RNA (CSIN_LNC004792)
Source: RNAcentral